UGGGGAAUAUUGGACAAUGGACCAAAAGUCUGAUCCAGCAAUUCUGUGUGCACGAUGACGUUUUUCGGAAUGUAAAGUGCUUUCAGUUGGGAAGAAAAAAAUGACGGUACCAACAGAAGAAGUGACGGCUAAAUACGUGCCAGCAGCCGCGGUAAUACGUAUGUCACAAGCGUUAUCCGGAUUUAUUGGGCGUAAAGCGCGUCUAGGUGGUUAUGUAAGUCUGAUGUGAAAAUGCAGGGCUCAACUCUGUAUUGCGUUGGAAACUGUAUGACUAGAGUACUGGAGAGGUAAGCGGAACUACAAGUGUAGAGGUGAAAUUCGUAGAUAUUUGUAGGAAUGCCGAUGGGGAAGCCAGCUUACUGGACAGAUACUGACGCUAAGGCGCGAAAGCGUGGGUAGCAAACAGGAUUAGAUACCCUGGUAGUCCACGCCGUAAACGAUGAUUACUAGGUGUUGGGGGUCGAACCUCAGCGCCCAAGCUAACGCGAUAAGUAAUCCGCCUGGGGAGUACGUACGCAAGUAUG
RNAcentral lists this ribosomal RNA (524 nucleotides) under uncultured bacterium. RNAcentral's name for it is "bacterial SSU rRNA". It matches the Rfam family "Bacterial small subunit ribosomal RNA", at positions 355 to 896 of the family's 1533-position model. The record is from RNAcentral.